RNAcentral lists this ribosomal RNA (509 nucleotides) under uncultured bacterium. RNAcentral describes it as "bacterial SSU rRNA". It matches the Rfam family "Bacterial small subunit ribosomal RNA", at positions 15 to 518 of the family's 1533-position model. The record is from RNAcentral.
GAUUAUGGCUCAGGAUGAACGCUAGCGGUAAACUUAUACAUGCAAGUCGAGGGGUAACAUGCGGUAGCAAUACCGUGAUGACGACCGGCGUAAGGGUGAGUAAUACAUAUAUAAUCUGCCUCAUACUGGGGGGAUAGCUUCUGGAAACGGAAAUUAAUACCCCAUAUUAUCUAGGAGACACAAGUAAUCUAGAUGAAAGAUUUAUCGGUAUGAGAUGAGUGUAUGGCCUAUUAGUUUGUUGGUGGGGUAAUGGCCUACCAAGGCGAUGAUGGGUAAGGGUUCUGAGAGGAAGGUCCCUCACAUUGGAAUUGAAAUUCGGUCCAGACUUCUACGGAAGGCAGCAGUAGGGAAUAUUGGUCAAUGGGCGAAAGCUUGAACCAGUUAUACCGCGUGCAGGAAUAAGGCUUUAGGGCUGUAAACUGCUUUUAUAUAAGAAUAAUGUUAAUCUUUUUGGUUAAAGUGAAGGUAUUAUAUGAAUAAGUACCGGCUAAUUCCGUGCCAGCAGCAGC